This 301-nucleotide ribosomal RNA is filed under the name uncultured bacterium. Its description in RNAcentral is "partial 16S ribosomal RNA". It matches the Rfam family "Bacterial small subunit ribosomal RNA", at positions 509 to 807 of the family's 1533-position model. The record is from RNAcentral.
CAGUAGCCACGGGAAUACGGAGGGUGCAAGCGUUAAUCGGAAUUACUGGGCGUAAAGCGCACGCAGGCGGUCUGUCAAGUCGGAUGUGAAAUCCCCGGGCUCAACCUGGGAACUGCAUUCGAAACUGGCAGGCUAGAGUCUUGUAGAGGGGGGUAGAAUUCCAGGUGUAGCGGUGAAAUGCGUAGAGAUCUGGAGGAAUACCGGUGGCGAAGGCGGCCCCCUGGACAAAGACUGACGCUCAGGUGCGAAAGCGUGGGGAGCAAACAGGAUUAGAUACCCGCGUAGUCCCUGUCUCUUAUAC